Molecule: ribosomal RNA, 253 nt
Filed under: uncultured bacterium
Lineage: Bacteria
Description: partial 16S ribosomal RNA
Rfam family: Bacterial small subunit ribosomal RNA
Source: RNAcentral
UACAGAGGGGGCAAGCGUUAUUCGGAAUUAUUGGGCGUAAAGGGCGCGUAGGCGGCUUUUCAAGUGACGGGUGAAAUCCCUCGGCUUAACCGAGGAACUGCCUGUCAGACUGGAAGGCUUGAGACCGGGAGAGGUGAGUGGAAUUCCCAGUGUAGCGGUGAAAUGCGUAGAUAUUGGGAGGAACACCAGUGGCGAAGGCGGCUCACUGGACCGGUACUGACGCUGAGGCGCGAAAGCUAGGGGAGCAAACGGG